This 253-nucleotide ribosomal RNA is filed under the name uncultured bacterium. RNAcentral's name for it is "partial 16S ribosomal RNA". It matches the Rfam family "Bacterial small subunit ribosomal RNA", at positions 524 to 776 of the family's 1533-position model. The record is from RNAcentral.
UACGGAGGGUGCAAGCGUUAAUCGGAAUUACUGGGCGUAAAGCGUGCGUAGGCGGUUCGUUAAGUCUGUUGUGAAAGCCCCGGGCUCAACCUGGGAAUGGCAAUGGAUACUGGCGAGCUAGAGUGUGUCAGAGGAUGGUGGAAUUCCCGGUGUAGCGGUGAAAUGCGUAGAGAUCGGGAGGAACAUCAGUGGCGAAGGCGGCCAUCUGGGACAACACUGACGCUGAGGCACGAAGGCGUGGGGAGCGAACGGG